AAUGAACGCUGGCGGCGUGCUUUACACAUGCAAGUCGAGCGAGGCCAGGUAGCAAUACCUGAGUCGAGCGGCGCACGGGUGAGUAACGCGUGGAUGACCUGCCUGAGGGUGGGGGAUAACCCGGGGAAACUCGGGCUAAUACCGCAUAAAACCGAGAGGUCAAAGGGGCUCGCAAGGGCUCUCGCCUGCAGAGGGGUCCGCGUCCGAUUAGCUAGUUGGCAGGGUAAUGGCCUACCAAGGCGACGAUCGGUAGCCGGCCUGAGAGGGUGAUCGGCCACACUGGAACUGAGACACGGUCCAGACUCCUACGGGAGGCUG
RNAcentral lists this ribosomal RNA (318 nucleotides) under uncultured Acidobacteriota bacterium. RNAcentral describes it as "bacterial SSU rRNA". It matches the Rfam family "Bacterial small subunit ribosomal RNA", at positions 29 to 351 of the family's 1533-position model. Lineage: Bacteria; Pseudomonadati; Acidobacteriota. The record is from RNAcentral.